CCUACGGGUGGCAGCAGCAGGGAAUUUUGCACAAUGGACGAAAGUCUGAUGCAGCGACGCCGCGUGGGCGAUGAAGGCCUUCGGGUUGUAAAGCCCUUUUCUGGGGGAAGAGAGAGGACGGUACCUCAGGAAUAAGCGUCGGCUAACUACGUGCCAGCAGCCGCGGUAAUACGUAGGACGCAAGCGUUAUCCGGAUUCACUGGGCGUAAAGCGCCUGCAGGCGGUCUUGUAAGUUGGGUGUGAAAGCCCCAGGCUUAACCUGGGGAGGCCAUUCAAUACUGCGAGACUUGAGGACGGAAGAGGGAAGCGGAAUUCCCGGUGUAGCGGUAAAAUGCGCAGAUAUCGGGAGGAACACCAGUGGCGAAGGCGGCUUCCUGGUCCGUUCCUGACGCUCGGAGGCGAAAGCUAGGGGAGCAAACAGGAUUAGAUACCCGGGUAGUC
Molecule: ribosomal RNA, 441 nt
Filed under: uncultured bacterium
Lineage: Bacteria
Description: partial 16S ribosomal RNA
Rfam family: Bacterial small subunit ribosomal RNA
Source: RNAcentral